RNAcentral lists this ribosomal RNA (397 nucleotides) under uncultured bacterium. RNAcentral describes it as "partial 16S ribosomal RNA". It matches the Rfam family "Bacterial small subunit ribosomal RNA", at positions 523 to 918 of the family's 1533-position model. The record is from RNAcentral.
AUACGUAGGGGGCGAGCGUUGUCCGGAAUGACUGGGCGUAAAGGGCGCGUAGGCGGCGCGGUAAGACGGGCGUGAAAACCCCGGGCUCAACUCGGGGCAUGCAAACGAGACUGCCGUGCUGGAGUGCAGGAGAGGGAAGCGGAAUUCCUAGUGUAGCGGUAAAAUGCGUAGAUAUUAGGAGGAACACCAGUGGCGAAGGCGACUUACUGGACUGUAACUGACGCUGAGGCGCGAAAGUGUGGGGAGCAAACAGGAUUAGAUACCCUGGUAGUCCACACUGUAAACGAUGAAUGCUAGGUGUAGGGGGUAUCGACCCCUUCUGUGCCGCAGUUAACACAAUAAGCAUUCCGCCUGGGGAGUACGGCCGCAAGGUUGAAACUCAAAUGAAUUGGCGGGG